AUUUAUAAGUUUUGGAUAUUGAUGCAAAUUUAAUAUCUAACAGAGUUGAAUGACAAAAAAAUGUCGAUACAAUACGACACCAAUUAAUUCAGAAUUAAGAUUUAGUUAUUAUUUAUUUGUGUUUAUAGUUUUGAGGUUGUUCUUGAAUUUGUCACACAUUAUUAGACUCCAACUCAUUUUCUUUGUCAUUAACUCUUCAUAAUCUCUUAAGUCUUUGUACUCUUAUAGGGCUUGCAUUUCUAACACUGAUAAAAGUUAUCUGAGCUCUUUCAAUGGACUAGGUCCAACCUAUGAAAAAUAAGGGUUGCCAUUAGAAAUUGCCUUGAAAAUCUGGGAAUUAGGGCUAGAGUUAUAGCCUUACCAAAUCCUUGUGUGGCUUUGGCUUAUAACAGAUGGGCUUAUUAAAAAAUAUUGGAAAAAUUCUUAUUUAAUUUUUCCAUUUUAACAAAUCUUACUAUUUAGUUUUUAAAAAAAUAUAUAUUAGUUUAUUGUUAUAUUUUUGUUUCGUCUAUUAUUUAGUCCUUUUUUCCAAUUUAAAUCAAGUUUUUUGUCCGUCAAUGUAUUUAAAAGAAAGAAAUUACUAUUAUGAGAAUUAAAUAGUUCAAAAACUUAUAAAAUAGAGUGACUAUAUAGUUGUAUUUUCAAAAUUACAAGGACUGAAUAAAAUUUAAACUAAUACCUGAAAUGACCAGAGGGACCAAAAAGUAAACAAAACAAAAAUAUAGAGCCUAAUCCUAAAGACUAUUGUAUAAAAUCUUUUUGGUAGAAGGAAGCUAAUUGAAAAUCCUAUUGUCUAUGUGCAAUGUGGCUUCUUUUAAUAAUAUAUUGGUUUAACUUUGCUUUGAACCUUAAACUCUUAACUUUUUGCCAUCAUUGAUUCAAUAAUAAGACCAGAUUUAAAAACUGUAUUUUAAAUUAAAAAUGUUUUUGUGGGUAGUGGGUUAUGUGAUGUGGGAUUGUCAAACUUAUAGAUCUUAUUUUAUGCACCCUAAUCAAGAUUAUUAUUUGAUUAAUUAAUUUUUAUAUUUAGAAAAUAUUUGGACGUUAAAAUUCAAAUUCUUUUAGCUUAAAAAAUUAUAUGAAAUGGGCGUAAAGAAUCAAGUAUGAUGCUUUUUUGUAUUGGAAAUAGACAAAGGGGUGGGUUUAAACCUUUUGUUGUUCUGUUGCUCUCCAUCAUAAAAUUUCUAGAAAUAACUCCUAACAAAUUAUUUACACCUUUGAACUACUCUUAGAUUUUAAAAUUAAAAAGUGAAUUAUCACUCCAUAUGAUUUUCUUCCAUUCUUACCCAUGUGAGAUGGUCGGAGCUUUAUUUAGUUUGUAGAAUUAAAUAACAUGGAAAUUAAAUAUUCUAUAGAUUAGCUAUUAGUCACUAAAUUUGUAAUUCAGAAGAAUAUAUAUCCCAUCCAAUAAAAAUGUUUUUUUGUUUUUUUUAACAGCAGAAAGAUAAUAAUUAUUGCAUAUUAAAAGUUUUGAUAAAAAUAUUAAAAACAAUGAAAUAACUAUUUCUUGAUAUUAUUUCCAUCUUUUAAUAUGCUAUUUCACAAACCAAACAGAGCAGAGUAAAAUAACUUAUCUACAUAUCCCACUAAUGAUCAGGCCUUGUAUAGUAAUAUUAGUGUUGUUAGCUGUUUUAGUAGCUGUCAAUUAUUUUACCAGUUGUUAGUUAUUAGAUAUUAGUGAUUUAAAGCAAAAGUAUUCAAUUAAAAUGACUGUUGAAUUAGUUAGUAAAUGUAAAAAUAAUGAUAUAAUCUCAUUGACUUUAGUCAAAUCACUCACUCAACCUCUAAAAUCUAGGAAGAGUAAUUUUUCAUGAAUCACCCCCUUAACCUCUAAGAACUAGUAUAAACACUAUGCCACUGAACAAUAUAUAUAUAUAAGAGAAGAGUUAAAAUACUAAAUACCACCUUAAAAGUUACUGCCAAUCAGGACUUUAAUGUAACCAAACUACAUAGAGCAUGAAAGAGGCUGCAAAUUAGGGGUCCGUAGUUUUCGAUUCUAAUUAAAUUGAACUGAAUUAAUUCGAAUUUUGUCUAUUUUUUCAUUAUUGAUUUUGAUUUUGUUCAUUUUUUUAAGAAGUUUCAAUUAAUCGAUUUGGUUUAAUUUAUUUGAUCAAAAGAUCCAACUAACUAAACCAACUAAAAUUUAAAACCCAUAAGGGAGCUUAAGCCUAAGUGUUAACCCAUAUAUAGUUCCAUGUUUGCCCAACCUCAAUAGGCCUUGCCAUGGUGUUAAGUCUCCAUCUUCAGUUGAAUCAGUUGUUCUACUCUAUAGACUUCUAUUUGCCUCCCUCACCCACCCUCGUCCUUCGCUCUUAACUCUUUGUCUACAUCCAGUUGCCUCAUUCCGUCCUUGUCAGCUGUCUUACCGCUUCCCUCACACUCACUCUAUCUGUCUCAUCCUUGUCCCUCACUGUCUCUAUCUGUCUCGUCAACACUUGGCCUCCUUCACCCACGCUCUCUAUUUGUCUCACCCUUGUUUGCUUGCUCUAUCUCAACCCUGCCCCUUGGUCUUUGUCUCGUCAACGUCGUCUAGUCUCCCUCCCUCUCUUGACGAUUCCUUUGUCAUUUGGUCUGAGUUUCAAUGGAUUGUGAUUAUUGGGUUUUGUUCAACUAUUGACACUAAACAACAACGUUUUGUGAUUUUUGGCUCGAUUAAAAAAAUGAUGAAUUCAACCGAAUUGAACCAAUUGGAUUCAGUUUGAUUCAAUUCUACUAUUGACUUUCAUUUCAUAAGAUUUUGAUACAGAUCAAUUAGGUUUGGUUUGGAACCGAACAUAUCGAUUGUACACCCCUAUUUGCAAUUAUUUUGAUUGUCUUCAUCUUAUAGUAUCAACAAUAAAACCGAUGACGAAUUGAAAUCCCUUGUAUAAAACCAAGUACCAAGAACUUGAUGUACUUGAUAUUCAUUUACAAAAAUGGGGGGAUUGAGUACUUGAAGAUCUUGCCUAAGUUUGUGAGUGCAUGAUUGUACUUGAUACUGAACAUGAAACUUAUGAUUAAGGCAUCAGGACACUCACAUUUUAAGAUUAUCAUGAAGCAAU
This 3041-nucleotide unclassified non-coding RNA is filed under the name Hevea brasiliensis (rubber tree). Lineage: Eukaryota; Viridiplantae; Streptophyta; Magnoliopsida; Malpighiales; Euphorbiaceae. The record is from RNAcentral.